Molecule: small nuclear RNA, 107 nt
Filed under: Zalophus californianus (California sea lion)
Lineage: Eukaryota; Metazoa; Chordata; Mammalia; Carnivora; Otariidae
Source: RNAcentral
GUACUUGCUUCAGCAGGACAUACACGAAAAUUGGAAUCAUACAGCGAAGAUUAGCAUGGCCCCUGUGCAAGGAUGACAUGCAAAUUUGUAAAGCGCUCCAUAUUUUG